GACGAACGCUGGCGGCGUGCUUAACACAUGCAAGUCGAACGGUAAGGCCCUUCGGGGUACACGAGUGGCGAACGGGUGAGUAACACGUGGGUGAUCUGCCCUGCACUUCGGGAUAGGCCUGGGAAACUGGGUCUAAUACCGGAUAGGACCACUGCCUGCAUGGGUGGUGGUGGAAAGCUUUUGCGGUGUGGGAUGGGCCCGCGGCCUAUCAACUUGUUGGUGGGGUGAUGGCCUACCAAGGCGACGACGGGUAGCCGGCCUGAGAGGGUGACCGGCCACACUGGGAGUGAGGUACGGCCCAGACGCCUACGGGAGGCAGGAGUGGGGAAUAUUGCACAAUGGGCGCAAGCCUGAUGCAGCGACGCCGCGUGAGGGAUGACGGCCUUCGGGUUGUAAACCUCUUUCAGCACCGACGAAGCGCAAGUGACGGUAGGUGCAGAAGAAGGACCGGCCAACUACGUGCCAGCCGCCGCCGUAA
Molecule: ribosomal RNA, 478 nt
Filed under: uncultured bacterium
Lineage: Bacteria
Description: partial 16S ribosomal RNA
Rfam family: Bacterial small subunit ribosomal RNA
Source: RNAcentral